This is a non-coding RNA of Gossypium hirsutum (cotton), 147 nucleotides long. NCBI's taxonomy places the organism in Eukaryota, Viridiplantae, Streptophyta, Magnoliopsida, Malvales, Malvaceae. The record is from Rfam.
UGUUAAAAAUUUCAUCCAUUUCUACUGUUAAAAACGGGCAUGGCUAAGACGAAAUAACCAGAUAAUUACAUGUGGUGUGUCAUGUGUACCUCAUGAUGACGUACAUGGACUAGUUUUUAAUAGUAAAAAUGAAAUAAAUUUUUAACA